Molecule: long non-coding RNA, 1650 nt
Organism: Gallus gallus (chicken)
Lineage: Eukaryota; Metazoa; Chordata; Aves; Galliformes; Phasianidae
Source: Ensembl
UGAAACUGGAUGAUCAUUGUGGUCCUUUUCAACCCAGGCCGUUCUAUGGUUCUAUGAUACUAUGAUCGUGUCCAAACACAAAGUCCAGUCAUAGCAGUCUUCAACACAGUCCAAAGAAUAGCGGGUGCCUGCUCAAAGGACUGCUAAAUUCUUCCUUUUGCCAAUUCAGAGUCUCCUGAUUUGUUAGUAAUCCUUCCUUUCUCCCAGUUUCUCAUCCUAUCAGGUGUAUUAGCACUGUACUUGAGUUGGUGGAAAUUCAGGAAAUCUUGCAUAUGAAAAAAAUGCCUUUAGCUUCUCUUUAUUUAUCUUUUAUUUCCUUAGGUCCACAGUAGAAAGUAUUCAUUCUUUUACUGCCACUUGGGUUUUUCUUCACAAAAUAUUUUUGUAGAUUUUGCCUCUUGCUAAAAAUACCUUCUUAGACGAAUGGUAAAUUAUGCAUUUUGUUCGUCUUGAUGAGUCCAUGAGAUAUGCCAGCACUUGAUUCAACCAGCAGGAAAACAAAUGCUACAACUGAGAAAUUCCUGCAAGGAAAAGCAGGUCUGGGCAGCCACCACAGGUGCUUCAUUAAUCUGUUGCAACUGACACAGAUUGACGCUUAACGUACUGCCAUGAGUGGAUGAUUACAAUCCCCAUACCCUGAAGGGCAUUUUCAUAUCAAAAUAGAGUUGAGACAAAUCAGUAGAGAAGAGAGAAGCUUUGCUCUUUUGACAAAACAAGAACAUUUACAACUCAGAAGCACUUUAUCUCCUUGAGUGUCACUUUGAAUGAGUCAGAGAGGAUAACGAGCUGGUGCAGGAGAAUGUGUGAUGUGAUAUCAUGUCUUUUCAUGUGCUUCUCAGUUCUACCAAGGUUACUUCUUUAUGAAUAAUCAAGAAUGGAAAAGAUGUAAAGAUUGGACUCUGAAGUAAACAGAAAGCUUACUCAACUCAUACCACUACACUCAUUAGGACAGGUGUUUGAAAUACGCCUGCAAUGCAUGCUUUCUCUUGAAGAUGGACUGCACUGAGCUGCCUGGAGGAAUGAAACUUGCUUGUCCUGGCUUUUCUCAGUGUACUUUGAAAGACGUGGGAGGGGGACAUCAGGGUGCUCAGAUCUGAGUACCUUCCCUUGUUAGUGCUGUAAGUUCUUUCUUAGCAGAGGAAACUGUGACCAAGUGAAUAUAUGUCAUUAUCUCAAAUGAAACAUGAUUGUAUUUCCUAUUUUUUCUAACAGCACAGAGGUCAUUCUAGACAUUUCCAAUCCUGUAAGUUCAUCAAUUUCAUCAGUUCUGACCUUUCCUUCAUUUUUUGUUACUGCAACUGUAUCUCAGCUUAGGCUAGCGGAUGCUUCACUUGUCAUUUUUGUCCCUGGCCCAUGGAGACAACUGAGAUCCAGGCACUCAAAAACCCAGCACGGACGUGCACUCUGCUGUUCAAGCUGGUUCCAGGCAUACAAGGAUAUAAGCAUGAAAAUGAUACUGUUCUAUACAUACCUGUUACCAAAAAGUAAUCUCAAUCAUCUUUGAACUGGUGACCAAAACUCUAAGCAUGUAAUAAUUUAACUUGCUUUAUUACAUAAUAAUAAUUUAAGAUAAAUCAAAAUUUGUUAAAAUUUAUUGAGUAAAAUUUCCAGUGGGUGUUUUUUCCUCCAGGAAAUGUAAGGAGUUCUGCA